RNAcentral lists this transfer RNA (76 nucleotides) under Clostridiales bacterium. RNAcentral's name for it is "tRNA-Pro". It matches the Rfam family "tRNA". From Rfam's summary of the family: Transfer RNA (tRNA) molecules are approximately 80 nucleotides in length. RNAcentral also lists the same sequence under 3 other names. Lineage: Bacteria; Bacillati; Bacillota; Clostridia; Eubacteriales. The record is from RNAcentral.
CCGGGUGUAGCGCAGAUGGUAGCGCGCCUGCUUUGGGAGCAGGAUGCCGCAGGUUCGACUCCUGUCACUCGGACCA